This 460-nucleotide ribosomal RNA is filed under the name uncultured Bacteroidota bacterium. Its description in RNAcentral is "uncultured Bacteroidetes bacterium partial 16S ribosomal RNA". Lineage: Bacteria; Pseudomonadati; Bacteroidota. The record is from RNAcentral.
GACUACCAGGGUAUCUAAUCCUGUUCGCUCCCCACGCUUUCGUGCAUCAGCGUCAGUAAUGGCCCAGCAAGCUGCCUUCGCAAUCGGUGUUCUGUGUAAUAUCUAAGCAUUUCACCGCUACAUUACACAUUCCGCCUGCCUUGACCAUACUCAAGAUAAACAGUAUCAACGGCAAGUCUACAGUUAAGCUGCAGCCUUUCACCACUGACUUAUUCAUCCGCCUACGCACCCUUUAAACCCAAUAAAUCCGGAUAACGCUUGCAUCCUCCGUAUUACCGCGGCUGCUGGCACGGAGUUAGCCGAUGCUUAUUCCCAGUGUACCGUCAAUCUCGUACACGUACGAGUGUUUCGCCCACUGGAAAAGCAGUUUACAACCCAUAGGGCUGUCUUCCUGCACGCGGGAUGGCUGGUUCAGGCUUCCGCCCAUUGACCAAUAUUCCUCACUGCAGCCCCCCGUAGG